RNAcentral lists this ribosomal RNA (516 nucleotides) under Pluteus cinereofuscus. RNAcentral describes it as "eukaryotic LSU rRNA". The stretch from base 228 to 381 matches the Rfam family "5.8S ribosomal RNA". Lineage: Eukaryota; Fungi; Basidiomycota; Agaricomycetes; Agaricales; Pluteaceae. The record is from RNAcentral.
UUGCUGACCUCCUCGGAGGUAUGUGCACACCUGCCAUUGUUUCAUUCAAUCCACUCCCACCUGUGCACUCUCUGUAGGCCAAACCAUCAAUCUUUCAGGCUCUUCUAAGGGCCUGGCGUGAGGAACUGCUCCGGCUUUCCUUGGAUGGGUGUGGUCUACGUUUUUAUCAACACUGCAUGUAAUCGAAUGUCUGUUCUGGGCUCUAUAUGACCCAUAAAACCUUAUACAACUUUCAACAACGGAUCUCUUGGCUCUCGCAUCGAUGAAGAACGCAGCGAAAUGCGAUAAGUAAUGUGAAUUGCAGAAUUCAGUGAAUCAUCGAAUCUUUGAACGCACCUUGCGCUCCUUGGCAUUCCGAGGAGCAUGCCUGUUUGAGUGUCAUUAAAUUCUCAACCUUACAUCCCUUGUGGUGUGAAGGUUGGAUAUGGGAGCUGCUGGCCUUUUGGGUCAGCUCUUCUGAAAUCUAUUAGCAGGGCCUUUGUAUGCAAAACUGCAGCUUGGUAAUGAUGGGAUGUC